Molecule: long non-coding RNA, 208 nt
Organism: Adelges cooleyi (spruce gall adelgid)
Lineage: Eukaryota; Metazoa; Arthropoda; Insecta; Hemiptera; Adelgidae
Exons: 3
Source: RefSeq, a predicted model, not a curated record
UAUCUUUAGCUGAACUAAUUCUUUGUUUAUCUAGCUGUAUUAUGUAAUUUAUUGAAAAAGAUUUUUGUAAAAAGAAGUUGUGAGUUUCCAGCACUUGGAAAUGCGAGAAGAGAUAUAACUUUAGAAGCUGUAAAGAUUGCAAUCCUAAAAUAUGCUGUACCGCCUUUUUUGAGUACUAAAACGAUAGAAAUGCCUUCUUCUGAAACUA